This 580-nucleotide ribosomal RNA is filed under the name uncultured bacterium. RNAcentral's name for it is "bacterial SSU rRNA". It matches the Rfam family "Bacterial small subunit ribosomal RNA", at positions 73 to 629 of the family's 1533-position model. The record is from RNAcentral.
GUCCUGGCAACGGGAUGAGUAAAGCGGCGAACGGGUGAGUAACGCGUGAGUAAUCUACCCUCUAGUCUGGGAUAACCUUCCGAAAGGUGGGCUAAUACCGGAUAAUGUCUUCUUGGGGCAUCCCAUGAAGAGCAAAGGGGGCGCCCGCAAGGGGCUCUCGCUGGAGGAGAAACUUGCGUCCGAUUAGCUAGUUGGUGAGGUAACGGCUCACCAAGGCGACGAUCGGUAGCCGGCCUGAGAGGGUGACCGGCCACACUGGGACUGAGAUACGGCCCAGACUCCUACGGGAGGCAGCAGUGGGGAAUCUUGCGCAAUGGGCGAAAGCCUGACGCAGCGACGCCGCGUGGGGGACGAAGGCCUUCGGGUUGUAAACCCCUGUCAGGCGGAACGAAUCCCCUGAGGACGAAUAAUCCUUGGGGUUGACGGUACCGCCAGAGGAAGCCCCGGCUAACUACGUGCCAGCAGCCGCGGUGAUACGUAGGGGGCAAGCGUUGCUCGGAUUUACUGGGCGUAAAGAGCGCGUAGGCGGCCAGGUAAGUCCGGUGUGAAAUUCCUCGGCUCAACCGAGGGCCCGCAUCGG